UACGGGGGGGGCAAGCGUUGUUCGGAAUUACUGGGCGUAAAGGGCUCGUAGGCGGUCAACUAAGUCAGACGUGAAAUCCCUCGGCUUAACCGGGGAACUGCGUCUGAUACUGGAUGGCUAGAGGUUGGGAGAGGGAUGCGGAAUUCCAGGUGUAGCGGUGAAAUGCGUAGAUAUCUGGAGGAACACCGGUGGCGAAGGCGGCAUCCUGGACCAAUUCUGACGCUGAGGAGCGAAAGCCAGGGGAGCAAACGGG
Molecule: ribosomal RNA, 253 nt
Filed under: uncultured bacterium
Lineage: Bacteria
Description: partial 16S ribosomal RNA
Rfam family: Bacterial small subunit ribosomal RNA
Source: RNAcentral